Molecule: ribosomal RNA, 497 nt
Filed under: uncultured bacterium
Lineage: Bacteria
Description: partial 16S ribosomal RNA
Rfam family: Bacterial small subunit ribosomal RNA
Source: RNAcentral
GACGAACGCUGGCGGCGUGCCUAAUACAUGCAAGUUGAGCGAUGAAGAUUGGUGCUUGCACCAAUUUGAAGAGCAGCGGACGGGUGAGUAACGCGUGGGGAAUCUGCCUUUGAGCGGGGGACAACAUUUGGAAACGAAUGCUAAUACCGCAUAACAACUUUAACCAUAAGGUUUAAGUUUGAAAGAUGCAAUUGCUUCACUUAAAGAUGAUCCCGCGUUGUAUUUACUAGUUGGUGAGGUAAAGGCCUAACAAGGCGAAGAUACAUAGCCGGCCUUAGAGGGGUGUCGGCCACAAUGGGACUGGGAACAGGCCCAAAACCCUACGGGGAGCAGCAGGAGGGAAUCUUCGGGAAUGGACGGAAGGCUGAACGAGGAACGCCGGGGGGGUGAAGAAGGGUUUCGGAUCGGUAAAAUCCGUUGGUAGGGAAGAACGUAAGUGGGAGUGGAAAGCGCAUCAAGUGACGGUAACUACUCAGAAAGGCACGGCUAACUACGUG